GAUGAACGCUGGCGGCGUGCUUAACACAUGCAAGUCGAACGAUGAAGCCCAGCUUGCUGGGUGGAUUAGUGGCGAACGGGUGAGUAACACGUGAGUAACCUGCCCUUGACUCUGGGAUAAGCCUGGGAAACUGGGUCUAAUACUGGAUAUGACUUCUCAUCGCAUGGUGGGGGGUGGAAAGAUUUAUUGGUCUUGGACGGACUCGCGGCCUAUCAGCUUGUUGGUGAGGUAAUGGCUCACCAAGGCGACGACGGGUAGCCGGCCUGAGAGGGUGACCGGCCACACUGGGACUGAGACACGGCCCAGACUCCUACGGGAGGCAGCAGUGGGGAAUAUUGCACAAUGGGCGCAAGCCUGAUGCAGCGACGCCGCGUGAGGGAUGACGGCCUUCGGGUUGUAAACCUCUUUCAGUAGGGAAGAAGCGAGAGUGACGGUACCUGCAGAAGAAGCGCCGGCUAACUACGU
This 465-nucleotide ribosomal RNA is filed under the name uncultured bacterium. RNAcentral describes it as "partial 16S ribosomal RNA". It matches the Rfam family "Bacterial small subunit ribosomal RNA", at positions 28 to 506 of the family's 1533-position model. The record is from RNAcentral.